ACAUUGUCAGUUAUAAGUCUUUGGCAUUAUCCUUCAACACAUAUCAAAAUUGAUUAAUAAGUGUUUUGUCAUUCGAGUUCACGUUGCAAGCAAGGUUUUGGAAUCCAACAACAUAUGUCAUGGCUGACCAUGAUCCUUGCCAUAAAGAUAAGAGCUUGGUCUUUGCUAUUCUUUUUCAAUCACUUUUUCUAAAUAUGGCCAUAAACACUUCUAUGAAUGAAUUCAAAUCAUAAAGUAGUCACAAUUCUUUUUCUAUUAAAGGUGCAAAUCAAAAAAGAAAACUUCUUGAUAGAAGUGCACCUAUAAAUCCGACUUGAGUAAAUCCAUCAAGGUAUUGGAAUAAAUGUAACUUUACAUAUAG
This 361-nucleotide long non-coding RNA is filed under the name Physcomitrium patens. Its description in RNAcentral is "long non-coding RNA (PPAT_LNC002106)". Lineage: Eukaryota; Viridiplantae; Streptophyta; Bryopsida; Funariales; Funariaceae. The record is from RNAcentral.